CACGUAGUUAGCCGUGACUUUCUGGUUGGAUACCGUCACUGCGUGAACAGUUACUCUCACGCACGUUCUUCUCCAACAACGGAGCUUUACGAGCCGAAACCCUUCUUCACUCACGCGGUGUUGCUCCAUCAGGCUUGCGCCCAUUGUGGAAGAUUCCCUACUGCUGCCUCCCGUAGGAGUAUGGACCGUGUCUCAGUUCCAUUGUGGCCGAUCAGUCUCUCAACUCGGCUAUGCAUCAUCGCCUUGGUAAGCCGUUACCUUACCAACUAGCUAAUGCACCGCAGGUCCAUCCCAGAGUGAUAGCCAAAGCCAUCUUUCAAACAAAGCCAUGUGGCUUUUGUUGUUAUGCGGUAUUAGCAUCUGUUUCCAAAUGUUAUCCCCCGCUCCAGGGCAGGUUACCUACGUGUUACUCACCCGUCCGCCACUCACUGGUGAUCCAACGUCAAUCAGGUACAAGCACCAUCAAUUAGUGGCCAGUGCGUACGA
This 486-nucleotide ribosomal RNA is filed under the name uncultured Lactobacillus sp. RNAcentral's name for it is "partial 16S ribosomal RNA". The record is from RNAcentral. Lineage: Bacteria; Bacillati; Bacillota; Bacilli; Lactobacillales; Lactobacillaceae.